GUAUGUGGCAAGCGUUGUCCGGAAUUAUUGGGCGUAAAGCGCGCGCAGGCGGUCCUUUAAGUCUGAUGUGAAAGCCCACGGCUCAACCGUGGAGGGUCAUUGGAAACUGGGGGACUUGAGUACAGAAGAGGAAAGCGGAAUUCCAAGUGUAGCGGUGAAAUGCGUAGAGAUUUGGAGGAACACCAGUGGCGAAGGCGGCUUUCUGGUCUGUAACUGACGCUGAGGCGCGAAAGCGUGGGGAGCAAACAGGGAUUAGAUACCCUGGUAGUCCACGCCGUAAACGAUGAGUGCUAAGUGUUAGGGGGUUUCCCGCCCCUUAGUGCUGCAGCUAACGCAUUAAGCACUCCGCCUGGGGAGUACGGCCGCAAGGCUG
This 373-nucleotide ribosomal RNA is filed under the name uncultured organism. Its description in RNAcentral is "partial 16S ribosomal RNA". It matches the Rfam family "Bacterial small subunit ribosomal RNA", at positions 527 to 896 of the family's 1533-position model. The record is from RNAcentral.